GAUGAACGCUGGCGGCGUGCCUAAUACAUGCGAGUCGAGCGAACAGACGAGGAGCUUGCUCCUCUGACGUUAGCGGCGGACGGGUGAGUAACACGUGGAUAACCUACCUAUAAGACUGGGAUAACUUCGGGAUACCGGAGCUAAUACCGGAUAAUAUAUUGAACCGCAUGGUUCAAUAGUGAAAGACGGUUUUGCUGUCACUUAUAGAUGGAUCCGCGCCGCAUUAGCUAGUUGGUAAGGUAACGGCUUACCAAGGCAACGAUGCGUAGCCGACCUGAGAGGGGGAUACGGCACAAUGGAACCGAGAAACGGUCCCGAACUCCAAGGGAGGGAGGAGUUGGGAAUUCUCCGGAAAGGGGGGAAGGCUGAACGAGGCAACGCGGGUGGGGGAAGAAGGGCUUCCGAUUGGAAAAACUCUUUAUUUGGGAAAAAAAAAAUGUGUAGUAACUAUGCACGUCUUGACGGUACCUAAUCAGAAAGCCACGGCUAACUACGUG
Molecule: ribosomal RNA, 497 nt
Filed under: uncultured bacterium
Lineage: Bacteria
Description: partial 16S ribosomal RNA
Rfam family: Bacterial small subunit ribosomal RNA
Source: RNAcentral